RNAcentral lists this ribosomal RNA (254 nucleotides) under uncultured bacterium. RNAcentral describes it as "partial 16S ribosomal RNA". It matches the Rfam family "Bacterial small subunit ribosomal RNA", at positions 524 to 776 of the family's 1533-position model. The record is from RNAcentral.
GACGUAGGGCGCGAGCGUUGUCCGGAUUUAUUGGGCGUAAAGAGCUCGUAGGCGGCUUGUUGCGUCGACUGUGAAAACCUGCGGCUCAACCGUGUGGUCUGCAGUCGAUACGGGCAGGCUGGAGUUCGGUAGGGGAGACUGGAAUUCCUGGUGUAGCGGUGAAAUGCGCAGAUAUCAGGAAGAACACCCGUGGCGAAGGCGGCUCUCUGGGACGGUACUGACGCUGAGACGCGAAAGCGUGGGGAGCGAACAGG